RNAcentral lists this unclassified non-coding RNA (353 nucleotides) under soil metagenome. RNAcentral describes it as "partial contains 5.8S ribosomal RNA, internal transcribed spacer 2, and large subunit ribosomal RNA". The stretch from base 1 to 120 matches the Rfam family "5.8S ribosomal RNA", at positions 35 to 154 of the family's 154-position model. The record is from RNAcentral.
GAUGAAGAACGUAGUGAAAUGCGAUAAGUAGUGUGAAUUGCAGAAUUCAGUGAAUCAUCGAAUCUUUGAACGCACAUUGCGCCCGCCAGUAUUCUGGCGGGCAUGCCUGUUCGAGCGUCAUUACAACCCUCAGGCCCCCGGGCCUGGCGUUGGGGAUCGGCGGAAGCCCCCUGCGGGCACAACGCCGUCCCCCAAAUACAGUGGCGGUCCCGCCGCAGCUUCCAUUGCGUAGUAGCUAACACCUCGCAACUGGAGAGCGGCGCGGCCACGCCGUAAAACACCCAACUUCUGAAUGUUGACCUCGAAUCAGGUAGGAAUACCCGCUGAACUUAAGCAUAUCAAUAAGCGGAGGA